Molecule: ribosomal RNA, 773 nt
Filed under: uncultured Neocallimastigales
Lineage: Eukaryota; Fungi; Neocallimastigomycota; Neocallimastigomycetes; Neocallimastigales
Description: partial large subunit ribosomal RNA
Rfam family: Eukaryotic large subunit ribosomal RNA
Source: RNAcentral
GUACACGCUGUGACUAGCAUAUCAAUAAGCGGAGGAAAAGAAACUAACAAGGAUUCCCCUAGUAACGGCGAGUGAAGCGGGAAGAGCUCAAAUUUGAAAUCUUAAGGGUUUCCCUUUACGAAUUGUAGUUUAAAGAAGUGUUUUCUGUUGAGGUUUUGGUAAAAGUUCUUUGGAAUAGGACAUCAUAGAGGGUGAGAAUCCCGUACUUGACCUUUACUUUCAACUUUGUGAUACACUUUCAAAGAGUCGGAUUGUUUGGGAAUGCAGUCCAAAAUGGGUGGUAAAUUUCAUCUAAAGCUAAAUAUUGGCGAGAGACCGAUAGCGAACAAGUACCGUGAGGGAAAGAUGAAAAGAACUUUGAAAAGAGAGUUAAACAGUACGUGAAAUUGUCAAAAGGGAAGCGUUUGACACCAGUGUUGUUUUUCUGAAAAUCAAUUAAAGAACUGUUUAUGCUAAGUUGUUUAGACUUUAUCAGCUAUCUGUUUAGUUUUGAGCUUUUCUUUAAUGCACUUUUCAGUUAACAAGUCAACAUCAAUUUCUUUUGCUGUAAAAAAGCUUGAGGAAGGUGGCUUGAGAUUCGUCUUAAGUGUUUAUAGCCUCUUGCCUAUGCAGUCGGAGAGAUUGAGGUCUGCAGCGUAGAUCCUUCGGGGCUAAAUGCAUUUGUGCUAAGUUAUAGCAUUUUAUAGACAACUUGUUGACUAUGAUUUGUCUUGUAGCUUACUCGCUUAUGUUAUUUUACCUACGCUUAGGAUGUUGACAGCAGUAUAGACUGU